RNAcentral lists this ribosomal RNA (425 nucleotides) under uncultured bacterium. RNAcentral describes it as "bacterial SSU rRNA". It matches the Rfam family "Bacterial small subunit ribosomal RNA", at positions 355 to 796 of the family's 1533-position model. The record is from RNAcentral.
UCAAGAAUCUUCCCCAAUGGACGAAAGUCUGAGGGAGCGACGCCGCGUGCAGGAUGAAGUCCUUCGGGAUGUAAACUGCUUUUGUGUGGGAAUACUUACGAAGGUACCACACGAAUAAGUGCCUGCUAAACUCGUGCCAGCAGCAGCGGUAAUACGAGUGGCACAAGCGUUAUCCGGUUUUACUGGGCGUAAAGGGUCCGCAGGUGGUCUUACAAGUUCGGUGUUAAAUCCUGGUGCUCAACAUCAGGGCCGCAUUGAAAACUGUAAGACUAGAGGCUGGGAGAGGUACAUGGAAUUGCCGGUGUAGGGGUAAAAUCCGUUAAUAUCGGCAAGAACACCAAAGGCGAAGGCAAUGUACUGGAACAGUCCUGACACUCAGGGACGAAAGCGUGGGGAGCGAAUGGGAUUAGAUACCCCCGUAGUCC